CCUACGGGGGGCAGCAGUGGGGAAUAUUGGACAAUGGGGGCAACCCUGAUCCAGCCAUGCCGCGUGUGUGAAGAAGGCCCUCGGGUUGUAAAGCACUUUCAGUGAGGAAGAACGCCUGGUGGUUAAUACCCAUCAGGAAAGACAUCACUCACAGAAGAAGCACCGGCUAACUCCGUGCCAGCAGCCGCGGUAAUACGGAGGGUGCGAGCGUUAAUCGGAAUUACUGGGCGUAAAGCGCGCGUAGGUGGCUUGAUAAGCCGGUUGUGAAAGCCCCGGGCUCAACCUGGGAACGGCAUCCGGAACUGUCAAGCUAGAGUGCAGGAGAGGAAGGUAGAAUUCCCGGUGUAGCGGUGAAAUGCGUAGAGAUCGGGAGGAAUACCAGUGGCGAAGGCGGCCUUCUGGACUGACACUGACACUGAGGUGCGAAAGUGUGGGUAGCAAACAGGAUUAGAUACCCUAGUAGUC
This 465-nucleotide ribosomal RNA is filed under the name Vreelandella stevensii. Its description in RNAcentral is "partial 16S ribosomal RNA". It matches the Rfam family "Bacterial small subunit ribosomal RNA", at positions 338 to 795 of the family's 1533-position model. Lineage: Bacteria; Pseudomonadati; Pseudomonadota; Gammaproteobacteria; Oceanospirillales; Halomonadaceae. The record is from RNAcentral.